RNAcentral lists this ribosomal RNA (58 nucleotides) under Inosperma maculatum. RNAcentral describes it as "partial 18S ribosomal RNA". The record is from RNAcentral. Lineage: Eukaryota; Fungi; Basidiomycota; Agaricomycetes; Agaricales; Inocybaceae.
AUUAGAGAAGUAAAGUCGUAACAACGUAUCCGUAGUUGAACCUGCGGAAGGAUCAUUA